AUUUAUAUAGUUUAUAUAAAACGGUAUAUUUUCAUUAUACAGAAAAUAAUUAGAUAUUUGUAAAUA
RNAcentral lists this transfer RNA (66 nucleotides) under Acheta domesticus (house cricket). RNAcentral's name for it is "tRNA-Glu". The record is from RNAcentral. Lineage: Eukaryota; Metazoa; Arthropoda; Insecta; Orthoptera; Gryllidae.